RNA transcript from Thrips palmi, 6177 nucleotides. It is a transcript of the gene named regulating synaptic membrane exocytosis protein 2, with no coding region annotated. Lineage: Eukaryota; Metazoa; Arthropoda; Insecta; Thysanoptera; Thripidae. The transcript is spliced from 18 exons. The record is from RefSeq and is a predicted model, not a curated record.
UGGUCGUGGCCGGGCCCGGGGAAGGCCGUCGAGGCCGUGGACGCCGUGGACGCAGACGCCCUGCAAUCCGAGGACGUCGUCGAGGUGCUGGGGGACAGCAUGGCCGCCAUGCCCGACCUAUCGCACCUCACGCCCGAGGAGCGGCAGAUCAUCGAGUCCGUGAUGAUGCGACAGAAGAGGGAGGAGGAGCACGAGAACGAGAUCAUGAGGCGCAAGCAAGAUGAGGUCCAGGUGCUGGAGGAGAGCAUUCGGCAGCGCUCGGAGCAGCAGAAGAAGGCGGGCGUGGAGCUGGACGCCACGUGCCACAUCUGCCUCAAGACCAAGUUCGCGGACGGCGUGGGCCACGUCUGCCACUACUGCAACAUCCGCUGCUGCGCGCGAUGUGGCGGCAAAGUCACGCUGCGCUCCAACAAGGUGAUAUGGGUGUGCAUCCUGUGCCGCAAGAAGCAGGAGCUGCUCAGCAAGACUGGCCAGUGGAUCAACAAGGGCAUGGUGAGCAGCCAGCAGGACUCCAUCAUGAGGCGCAUCGAGGCGGACAUGCAGGGCGGCAUCCUGGCGGGGCUGUCCGCCGACAAGCGGCCCAAGCUGGAGCGCGCGCACUCGGCCGCCGAGAAGGAGAACCAGCCGCUGCUGGCGGGGCCGCUGGGUCUGAGAAGGCAGUACUCGCAGCAGGAGGACGAGCGGUACUACCGCGGCGAGCUGGAGGGCCUGAUGCGCUCGCACCAGCAGCUGCAGGCCGGUGGCCAGCACGGCCAGCACGGCCAGCACGGCCACAUGACGGGCCACAUGACGGGCCACAUGGCCAUGGCGCCCCACCUGCCGCCCUACCGCCACGACUCGCUCUCCUCCGAGCAGAGCUCGUCCAUGGACUCGCACGGGGCGCACGCGCACGCGCACGCCUACAGCACGCACGCCGCGCCGCACGGGCCGCACGGGCCGCACGGACCCCCGCCCGGGCGCAAGCAGCACAAGCGGCAGGGCUCGGCGAAGCGCGCAGUAUCCCGGACGGCGCCGCACGCAGCGCAACACGCCGCGCAGCACUCCCCGCACAUUGCCCCGCAGCGCUCCUUCUCCUCCUCGGACGACGAGCUCAGGUCCACGCCGGACUGCACCAGUGGCGAGGAGCACGACACCGAGAAGGGAGACGGCGUUCACCAGAGCAGGGGGCGACUCAAAAAGCACGCCAUGUUAGAUCAAAAGAUUAAAAAGUUCCUGGCGCACCCGCACUCCUGGCAGACGAGUGCCGACGGCCAGUCCCUCGUCGGCCACAUGAUCCUCCGCAAGUCCAUCCGGGAGCCCCAGGGCUCGGGCGGAUCGUCGUCGGGGUCCUCGACGACGUCCGCCAUCCUGGGCCUCAAGGUGGCGGGCGGCAGGGUGAUGGAGGCCGGCCACAUCGGCGCGGUCAUCGAGCGCGUCAAGAAGGGCAGCAUCGCGGACGUGGAGGGCCAGCUCAAGCCAGGCGACGAGGUGCUGGAGUGGAACGGCAGGGGGCUGCAGGGACUGAGCCACCAGGAGGUGCACGACAUCAUUGCCGAGAGCAAGCAGGAGCCGCAGGUGGAGCUGAUGGUCUGCCGGCCGCUCAUGGGGUCCGCGUCGGGCCCCCACCCGGGCCACUCCGGGGGCCACGCGAUGGGCGCGAUGGGCCACGGCUCGGGCCCGGGGCCGGGGCCGCCAGCAGCCCGCGGCCGCGGCAUGUCGUCGACCUGGAGGGCGCCGCCGGUCCACAAAGACCUGUACGACGCGCGGCGCGACAACCCCGCCGUGCUGGUGACGUCACCCGGGUCGCCGGACCUGCACCGUGGGGGUCACCCCCGGCACGGCCCGCCCCUGGCCAAGGGCAACAGCGUGGGCGGCAAGAUGCAGGUCAAGCUGUGGUUCGACUCCGGCGCGCUGCAACUGCAAGUGACCAUCGUGUGCGCGGCGGGGCUGCUGCCGCGACGGAACGGGGAGCCCCGCAACCCGUACGCCAAGAUGUUCCUCCUGCCGGACCGAAGCGAGAACUCGAAGCGGCGCACCCAGACGCUGGCGCAGACCAACGACCCUCGCUGGAACCAGACGUUCGUGUACUCGUCCGUCAAGCGGUCCGACCUCAAGCUGCGGGUGGUGGAGAUCACGGUGUGGGACUACAUGCCGCACCGCACCAACGACUUCCUGGGCGAGGUGCUGGUGGAGCUGAGCGUGGCGGCGCUCGACUCGUCCCCGGAGUGGUUCUACCUGAGCAGCCACGGCGCGGGCCGCGACGCCGGCCGCGACGCCCUGCUGUCCCCCACCGACCACCUGAGCCCUCCGGGCGCGGGCAGCAUGGUGUCGAGGCUCUCGGACUCGGACACGUCGGACCUGGACGACGGCCGCGAGCGGCGCGUGGCGGACGGCGCGUCCAUCAGCAGCGUGGGGUCGUCCACGAGCCCGCCGCCCGACAUGCUGGACAUGGGCAGCGCGCGCCGCUCGCGCCGAGACAUGUCCCCGCAGGGACGCAAGCGCGCCGCGCACAUGGCGCUCCGCGACAAGCCGGUGUCGUACCAGCCGCCGCGCGUCGCGGGCGCGCACGCCGCGCAGCUCGGGCCGCGCUCGCACUCCGCAGCGCCCGCCGACUCGCCCUCCAUGGCCAUGAGGAGCAGGUCCAAGUCCCCGCGACGCUCCUCCGACCACCAAGUCGACCACCACGUCGACCACCACGCCGACCCGCGGAGCCUGUCGCCGCCGGAGGACCGGAGCAGCAUGGCCAUGGGCCCCCACGGCUACAUGCCACGCUUCUCCCGGUCGGCCACGGCCACGCCCACGACGUCACCGCGGAAGAGGCAGCUGCCGCAGAUCCCGCCGGCUGUGCAGAACGCGUUCCGGGAUCGCGACCGACUGUCCCGCGACCGCCUGGAUCGAGUAGACAGGGACCGCCUGGACCGGGACCGAUUGGACCGGGACCGUCUGGACCGGGACCGAGUAGAACUGGACCGUGGGUCAACACUUGACGCUGACGACCGGCUGCACGAGGCGCGGCACUCCAGCAGGCACCGCCAACGAGGGCACCAUUCAGCGGACUGGUCCUACACGGGGCUGUCCGACAGCGACCUGUCCACCUCGGGCCGGGGCACCACGUCUACGUACAGGAUGAGUCGCCGGCACCGGUCGCCCGACAAGGAGCUUGUCCCCGGCGACUUCGGGGACUCGGACAUCGAGUCGGUUGUCUCCGUCACCAGCAGUGCCUUCUCCACGCAGUCCGAGCGGCCGCGGGGGUCGCGCGCUAUCAGGUACACGCAGCUCUCGACAAGUGGUAGCGAGUUCAGCGCGGCCGGGACCAUGACCAGGGCGGGCAGGCAGGGCCGGCAGGGCUCGCAGCGAGGCCAGUUCACUCGCAGCCUGUCCAACACGGACGUGCCCCCCGAGACUGAGGACAGCACGCGGGGCAGCCGCGAGCACAUGACCAGCAGCAGCCCGGUGGACCAGAUCCAGAGCUAUAAUGACGGCAGCCUCAGCGACACUGCGCUGGGCACUCAGCACAACACGACGCGCAGGGUUAAAAUGGCCGGGACCACUGGCAAGAUGGCCGCGAUGGGCAAGAAGAGCUCGUCGACGUCACAGCUCUCGGCUACCGGUGAGGGAAGCGGAGGCCGAAAACGUAGGUUAGGUUUCAACCGCAAGGGCAAGUCUUCCUUCACCGUGCACCGGAGCGAAGAGGUGCUGCCGGAGGAUGUCAGGCUACUCGUCAGGCAGGCCAGCUCCAUGUCCAGCGACGGCGAGGGCUCCGGGGACGGAGACAGCAGCUGGGCGUCUAUGCGGGGCUCCAUGGGGCCCGACCCCAGCGGGGCGCUCACGGACUUCAUCGAGGGGCUGGGGCCGGGGCAGCUGGUGGGGCGCCAGGUGCUGGGCGCGCCCUCCCUCGGGGACAUCCAGCUCUCCAUGUGCUACCAGAAGGGCUACCUGGAGGUGGAGGUGAUCCGGGCACGGGGGCUCCAAGCCAAGCCGGGAUCCAAAACGCUGCCGGCACCUUAUGUGAAAGUUUACCUGGUGAACGGUAAGCGGUGUGUUUCCAAGAAUAAGACGCACACUGCAAGAAGGACUUUGGACCCUCUGUAUCAACAACAGCUUAUUUUUAGGGAAAACUAUGCUGGCUGUGUACUUCAGGUGACGGUGUGGGGUGACUAUGGCCGCAUCGAGGGCAAGAAGGUGUUCAUGGGGGUGGCGCAGAUCAUGCUGGACGACCUCAACCUGUCCGCCAUGGUGAUCGGCUGGUACAAGCUGUUCGGCACCACGUCCUUGGUUAGUGGACCCCCUUCGCUCGCCCUCUCCCGCCGCAGCUCAGACAAUAGCCUAGACUCCAUCCCCACCAACCCAUAGCAGCAGAGCAGCAGCGGUGGCAGUCCACGGCUGGACCACUGCCACCGCCCUUCGCCACCGCCGCCACCACGACCAUCGGCAGCGCGUGCUGACUAUGCCUAGUAGUGCCCUGCCCUCCACACCCUACCCUAGGUGAAGCACCUCGGUGGCCGCGGUGGGCGCUCCUCGCGGCGAGAGACCCUCUUCCCUGCCUCUCCGCAUUGCCACGCCCAGCCUCGCUAGCCUGCCCCGCAUCGGCCCUACACUCGUGAUUUAGUGUGUUUAGUGCUACGACGAACUUCAGGCAUGAAAAAUGCGAAAAAAGACAAAAAAAGGACAUGUUAUAAAUAAUAUAUAAAUACUAUAAAAUCUUGGUUUUCUUACUUUAAAAAAAUGAGAAACAUUGUAAAAUAUUGUACAGGCAAUUUUGUUAUCCGUACUGGACGUGAAAGACCAAAACUCUAUGCAGCCGUUGCUCGCCCCGCCACGCCACGCCCCUCCCCGUCCCACCCCACCCCGCCACGCCACGCCCCACCGGCCACACCUCUGAGCUUUGCGCCCUCCGUCCAACAGGCCCCCUCCCUCCCUUGUGGAAAACCCGCUGGGUUAACGCACACAGCCAGUUUCCUUUUAUUUUUGUCAUUUUUUUUUUUAUGAAAGUUCAAGUUUCUGCCAUCCCACCUUUACGAACUACUUUUGGCCAUGUGAUAUGCACCCCUACAGGUAACACAUCGCCGUUGUGUCAAACUGCCCCAGUUUCACGACCCCAGGCGAGAACCAACCAGUGGGCGAGCAAAUGUGCCGCGCUUUUUUUAAAAACUAGGUUGUCCUUAUUAUUCUAUUAUGGUGCAAUCAUUUUGACGCUUCAUCCAGACUUUAUAAAAGUGUUAGAUUAUGAGAGGACAAUGAAAAACAGAAAGAGUGGAAAUCAGAGUUAUUUCGAACUAGGGUAAUUAUGUGCAUGCUGUGAUUUUUUGUUGUUCUUUGUUGACGCAUUUGGCAGCACUGUUGCUGCCACGUGUCUGAGAGAGAGUGUGAGAGAGAAAAUGUGUGUGUUUUUCUAUCAACUGAUAUCAUCUGCAUAGGCUGCGACGAAACUCACCUAAAGCCAAUGCUGCUAAUCCUUUAAGAAGGUUUUUUUUUGCCUCAAAUUAACUGUGGCUUUUUUGGAAUUACAAAAGUGCUUUGUUAGGAGGAUCUCCAAUGCGCUAGUGGUGGAGCGACGCGCGCGUGACCUCAUGGCGCAGUGGAAGUCUGGAAGUCCCAGGUGGAACUUGAAGGUGCUCCUAAUUUGCUUUAGAUGACGUAGUGCCCACCGGAAAGCUCGAAAAGCAGGAUCAUUUUUCUUUUGUCAGUUGGGGCGAAUCCGGGUGAAGUGUUUUGUCUUCACAUCUGAACAUAUCCUUACCAUUGUAUCAUAAUUUAAAUUGUGCUCAAGUAUUUAGAAAUGUUAGCGCGAGGUUUCCACCAAUAGCAGCCCGAGUGACCAGUGUGACCAGUGGCACCACCACUGGCGUCGCUCCUUCAUUUCUUACUGGGCAAUCAAACCGGUCCGGCCACAAAAACAAAGAAAACAUAUUGUAUUUAAAAAUAUAUAAAAAAAGCAUUCUGGAUCUGUGAUAAUACCUUUAACUGCUAUGCAGACUGUUGUUAAGCGCUAUAAUAGUGUUUAUAUAUUGUCCUGGGCCCAGCGAAGCACGUGAGGCCUCGUCGCACGCCAGGCAAACGUUUAUACAGUCGGUGUUUCUUUCCUCCGCUCCGUAUAGCUUUCGUCGGAAAGCUCUGAAACUCUAGGUUAACACUAACAUAAGAACGUCACAUGUAAAUACGAAGACAAUAAAUGUAUCUAUGCAAAAAGACGUGCAA